UUGGAGGGCAAGUCUGGUGCCAGCAGCCGCGGUAAUUCCAGCUCCAAUAGCGUAUAUUAAAGUUGUUGCAGUUAAAAAGCUCGUAGUUGAAUUUCGGGAUUAGCAGGUCGGUCGUGCCACUGGUACGUACUGGUCUUGCUGAUUCCUCCCUCUUGACGAGCCGUAAUGCCAUUAAUUUGGUGUUGCGGGGAAUCAGGACUGUUACUUUGAAAAAAUUAAAGUGUUUAAAGCAGG
This 234-nucleotide ribosomal RNA is filed under the name uncultured Glomeraceae. RNAcentral's name for it is "partial 18S ribosomal RNA". It matches the Rfam family "Eukaryotic small subunit ribosomal RNA", at positions 548 to 784 of the family's 1831-position model. Lineage: Eukaryota; Fungi; Glomeromycota; Glomeromycetes; Glomerales; Glomeraceae. The record is from RNAcentral.